AAGUCGUAACAAGGUAUCUGUAGGUGAACCUGCAGAUGGAUCAUCUUUGUAUAAUCCAAACCCAGCCUCUCUCUCUCUCUGGGAGAGGUUCGGGGGAGAGGUGUCGCUCCGCACCUCUCAAAAAUAAACUAAAUUGGGCAAUCUUCCACAAACACGGUUGCAUCGGUCGGGUCUCUGCUGUCCAACAGUGCCUCACGGCGCUGGGAAAAUGGCAGCGCCCCGACAAAAUUUACACAACACACGCUAAUCUUUAGUCGUUGAAAAAUAAUCUUUAUGAUUGACACGAUUCGGUAACACGGUCGUAUAAUCUAAAACACAACUUUUGGCAACGGAUCUCUUGGUUCUCC
Molecule: unclassified non-coding RNA, 347 nt
Filed under: fungal sp.
Lineage: Eukaryota; Fungi
Description: partial internal transcribed spacer region
Rfam family: Eukaryotic small subunit ribosomal RNA (bases 1-46)
Source: RNAcentral